CAUAAGCGUGCUUAACUGCGAGACUGACAAGUCGAGCAGGUACGAAAGUAGGACAUAGUGAUCCGGUGGUUCUGUAUGGAAGGGCCAUCGCUCAACGGAUAAAAGGUACUCUGGGGAUAACAGGCUGAUUCCUCCAAGAGUUCAUAUCGACGGGGGAGUUUGGCACCUCGAUGUCGGCUCAUCACAUCCUGGGGCUGUAGCCGGUCCCAAGGGUAUGGCUGUUCGCCAUUUAAAGUGGUACGUGAGCUGGGUUUAAAACGUCGUGAGACAGUUUGGUCCCUAUCUGCCGUGGGCGUUGGAAAUUUGAAGGGGGCUGCUCCUAGUACGAGAGGACCGGAGUGGACGAACCUCUGGUGUACCGGUUGUCACGCCAGUGGCAUUGCCGGGUAGCUAAGUUCGGAAGAGAUAACCGCUGAAAGCAUCUAAGCGGGAAACUUGCCUUGAGAUGAUAUUUCCCGGGAACUAGAUUCCCCUAAAGGGUCGUUCGAGACCAGGACGUUGAUAGGCUGGGUGUGGAAGCGUAGUAAUACGUUAAGCUAACCAGUACUAAUUGCCCGUGCGGCUUGUCCCUAUAACCUUAGCAGGUUAUAU
Molecule: ribosomal RNA, 591 nt
Filed under: Glaciimonas sp. PCH181
Lineage: Bacteria; Pseudomonadati; Pseudomonadota; Betaproteobacteria; Burkholderiales; Oxalobacteraceae
Description: bacterial LSU rRNA
Rfam family: Bacterial large subunit ribosomal RNA
Source: RNAcentral